GACGAACGCUGGCGGCGUGCUUAACACAUGCAAGUCGAACGAAGAGCGAUGGAAGCUUGCUUCUAUCAAUCUUAGUGGCGAACGGGUGAGUAACGCGUAAUCAACCUGCCCUUCAGAGGGGGACAACAGUUGGAAACGACUGCUAAUACCGCAUACGAUCCGACCUCGGCAUCGAGGAUGGAUGAAAGGUGGCCUCUAUUUAUAAGCUAUCACUGAAGGAGGGGAUUGCGUCUGAUUAGCUAGUUGGAGGGGUAACGGCCCACCAAGGCAAUGAUCAGUAGCCGGUCUGAGAGGAUGAACGGCCACAUUGGGACUGAGACACGGCCCAGACUCCUACGGGAGGCAGCAGUGGGGAAUCUUCCGCAAUGGACGAAAGUCUGACGGAGCAACGCCGCGUGAGUGAUGACGGCCUUCGGGUUGUAAAGCUCUGUUAAUCGGGACGAAGGGUCUUCUUGCGAAUAGUUAGAAGAAUUGACGGUACCGGAAUAGAAAGCCACGGCUAACUACGU
RNAcentral lists this ribosomal RNA (509 nucleotides) under uncultured bacterium. RNAcentral describes it as "partial 16S ribosomal RNA". It matches the Rfam family "Bacterial small subunit ribosomal RNA", at positions 28 to 506 of the family's 1533-position model. The record is from RNAcentral.